Thamnophis sirtalis is the source of this 1652-nucleotide non-coding RNA. Lineage: Eukaryota; Metazoa; Chordata; Lepidosauria; Squamata; Natricidae. The record is from RefSeq and is a predicted model, not a curated record.
AGCAAACUAGCUUUCCAGUACCUGCAAUAAUAAAGAAAAGUUCUAGGUGUACUUGUACAAUCUGUUUCCUGACUUGACCUCUCUUGAAGGAAUGACAUCAAUGCUGAAAGCUUCACAGAGGAUUUCCCCCUUUUAUACCAAAGAGUAUCAAGGGAGAACAAUCUUGCAUUUCUUUUUCACUUCCAGCUUCAUUCAAGGCUAAGUUGGUGUUUCUAUAUAAUGAUUGUGGAAUACUUUCUUCAAAUGAUCUUCAUGUUGCUUUACAUAUUAUCUUCCUGUGCCUGCUUUAGAAGAUUUUGUCUCCCUUUUGUGCUAGAGUGCUAUGACAUUCUCCUACAGUGAACAUGGUUUUUGUUUUGUCUCCAUGCAGAAUUGCUCCAAAUGAACUGUAUUUCCUAGUUAGAAGAGAUCAAACACUGUACUUCAACUUACAAAGAAUCUGUGAUAAUACCUGAAUGUUUAUCAUCUGACCUUUUUCACUCUUUUAUGCUGUUGAAAAUGAUGGCGGAAAGGGCACAUAUGUGAUCCAAGAAGAAUUUGGAAGAUGCAGUCAGAGAAGCUUGUCCAACCUGGGUGCCCUCCAGAUGCUGUGGAUGUCAGUUUCCAAAAUUCUCAACAAAAUCCAAGCAGACAUUGGGUUAGAUACAGAUGGAUGAUCUGUGAUUGGCUUCUCUACUGGAUAAAGCAUUUUUGCCAAAGACUUUUUCUUCUGCAUCUUACACCAUGAAAAAGCCAUAAAAUCAAGGGAAAGUGUCUGUUUCGUUACAUAAAAUUAUUAGACAUCUUACAUAUGUGAACCUACGAAUAGUUCAAAACAGAUGUAACUAAGAGAAUGAGAAAUUAUUUAUGAUUUGCUGGUGUAUCCAUUCAAAGUAAAAUUCCAAGAUAUUUUCAAGAGCUGACAUUUAUGGUAAACUAAUAAUAAUGCCUGGCAGAAAUGAGUUAUUCCGAAAGAUCAAAUUUUAUUAAUUCAAAAGCAUUAUAGUUCUAGACAACAUGAGAAACAACUGGACUGAUGAAUGAACUGCAUUGAAAACACUACUUCUUCAAAUGUUAUUCCCAUCUGAAAUGUAUGUAUUUAUAAAAUGGGUAAUUGAUUAAUAAAGAAAUCAAGUGCUGGUUCAGUAUAUUUUAAUAUGUAAUGUGUGAUAGAGAUUACAUUACAGAUUAUAUUUUAUAGAGUUCCACCAUCUCAACAGUACAACAUGCAGAUAUUGUACUUAGGCUAAUUAGAUGUCACAUUUGUAAUUAGAAUAUUGAUUGAUAAGCUGGUUUACUUUUUUCAUAUAUAUGUUUUAUUUCAAUAUCUGUUUACCUGCUUUGUCAUUGUUGAGCUAAUAACUAUUUAUUUAUACAUAAUUAAUAAUUAAGGUUUUUUUUAAAAAAAACUAACAUUAAAGUUGUAAAUGGAAUGUCUACCCACAAUUAUUUAAAAAAAAUACUCCACCCAAAAGGCAAAUAUAUUAUUAAAUGGGGAAAGUACAGAGACCUUUAAAAUAAUGAAAGGAGUAAGGCAGGGAUGCCCACUAUCACCUCUGCUCUUCAUCCUGACGCUUGAAAGUCUUUCAAUGAGAAUUAGACAAAAUUCUGAGAUAAGAGGAACUAAAAUUUAAAAAGAGGAAUAUAAAAUCCAGGCCUUUGCAGACGAUUUG